RNAcentral lists this ribosomal RNA (19 nucleotides) under Musa balbisiana (Balbis banana). Its description in RNAcentral is "partial 18S ribosomal RNA". The record is from RNAcentral. Lineage: Eukaryota; Viridiplantae; Streptophyta; Magnoliopsida; Zingiberales; Musaceae.
UGCCGGGAGGGGUCCAUUG